This 1489-nucleotide ribosomal RNA is filed under the name Lactiplantibacillus plantarum. RNAcentral describes it as "bacterial SSU rRNA". It matches the Rfam family "Bacterial small subunit ribosomal RNA". Lineage: Bacteria; Bacillati; Bacillota; Bacilli; Lactobacillales; Lactobacillaceae. The record is from RNAcentral.
GACGAACGCUGGCGGCGUGCCUAAUACAUGCAAGUCGAACGAACUCUGGUAUUGAUUGGUGCUUGCAUCAUGAUUUACAUUUGAGUGAGUGGCGAACUGGUGAGUAACACGUGGGAAACCUGCCCAGAAGCGGGGGAUAACACCUGGAAACAGAUGCUAAUACCGCAUAACAACUUGGACCGCAUGGUCCGAGUUUGAAAGAUGGCUUCGGCUAUCACUUUUGGAUGGUCCCGCGGCGUAUUAGCUAGAUGGUGGGGUAACGGCUCACCAUGGCAAUGAUACGUAGCCGACCUGAGAGGGUAAUCGGCCACAUUGGGACUGAGACACGGCCCAAACUCCUACGGGAGGCAGCAGUAGGGAAUCUUCCACAAUGGACGAAAGUCUGAUGGAGCAACGCCGCGUGAGUGAAGAAGGGUUUCGGCUCGUAAAACUCUGUUGUUAAAGAAGAACAUAUCUGAGAGUAACUGUUCAGGUAUUGACGGUAUUUAACCAGAAAGCCACGGCUAACUACGUGCCAGCAGCCGCGGUAAUACGUAGGUGGCAAGCGUUGUCCGGAUUUAUUGGGCGUAAAGCGAGCGCAGGCGGUUUUUUAAGUCUGAUGUGAAAGCCUUCGGCUCAACCGAAGAAGUGCAUCGGAAACUGGGAAACUUGAGUGCAGAAGAGGACAGUGGAACUCCAUGUGUAGCGGUGAAAUGCGUAGAUAUAUGGAAGAACACCAGUGGCGAAGGCGGCUGUCUGGUCUGUAACUGACGCUGAGGCUCGAAAGUAUGGGUAGCAAACAGGAUUAGAUACCCUGGUAGUCCAUACCGUAAACGAUGAAUGCUAAGUGUUGGAGGGUUUCCGCCCUUCAGUGCUGCAGCUAACGCAUUAAGCAUUCCGCCUGGGGAGUACGGCCGCAAGGCUGAAACUCAAAGGAAUUGACGGGGGCCCGCACAAGCGGUGGAGCAUGUGGUUUAAUUCGAAGCUACGCGAAGAACCUUACCAGGUCUUGACAUACUAUGCAAAUCUAAGAGAUUAGACGUUCCCUUCGGGGACAUGGAUACAGGUGGUGCAUGGUUGUCGUCAGCUCGUGUCGUGAGAUGUUGGGUUAAGUCCCGCGACGAGCGCAACCCUUAUUAUCAGUUGCCAGCAUUAAGUUGGGCACUCUGGUGAGACUGCCGGUGACAAACCGGAGGAAGGUGGGGAUGACGUCAAAUCAUCAUGCCCCUUAUGACCUGGGCUACACACGUGCUACAAUGGAUGGUACAACGAGUUGCGAACUCGCGAGAGUAAGCUAAUCUCUUAAAGCCAUUCUCAGUUCGGAUUGUAGGCUGCAACUCGCCUACAUGAAGUCGGAAUCGCUAGUAAUCGCGGAUCAGCAUGCCGCGGUGAAUACGUUCCCGGGCCUUGUACACACCGCCCGUCACACCAUGAGAGUUUGUAACACCCAAAGUCGGUGGGGUAACCUUUUAGGAACCAGCCGCCUAAGGUGGGACAGAUGAUUAGGGUG